GGAAAAGAAACUAACAAGGAUUCCCCCAGUAACGGCGAGUGAAGCGGGAAGAGCUCAAGCUUAAAAUCUCCAUACUUGUAUGGCGAAUUGUAGUCUAUUGAGGCUGUUGUCAGCAUCGCGAUUGGGGACAAGUCCCUUGGAAAAGGGCAGCAUAGAGGGUGAUACUCCCGUCUCUGCUCCAAUCUGCGGUGUGUACGAUACGCUUUCUUUGAGUCGAGUUGUUUGGGAAUACAGCUCAAAGUAGGUGGUAAAUUCCAUCUAAAGCUAAAUAUUGGUGCGAGACCGAUAGCGAACAAGUACCGUGAGGGAAAGAUNAAAAGAACUUUGAAAAGAGAGUUAAAGAGUACCUGAAACUGUUGAAAGGGAACCGUAUCGUUUCCAGUGUUGUAUCCUAUGCAUAUUUCAUUCGCGGAGUAAUUUGCGGGUGCCCUGUGCAUGGGUGUGACGUCAGGGUCAGUUUGUAUGCUGCGGGAGAUGGUCAGUGAGGAGGUGCGUCACUUCGGUGAAAGUUAUAUCUCGCUGUCUAGUAGCCGUGGUUGAGACUGAGGUGCCUACAACAUGCCUUAAGGUUCCGUGUUGUCUCGUGUUGGUGACUGCUUUGAUAGCUUGCUAUGUCUGUGGUUUAUCAGUGCGAUUGAUGAUGCGGAUAACUUUUGCUGUUCGGGACUCUGGCGAAAUGGAGC
This 683-nucleotide ribosomal RNA is filed under the name Saprolegnia sp. UNCW264. Its description in RNAcentral is "eukaryotic LSU rRNA". It matches the Rfam family "Eukaryotic large subunit ribosomal RNA", at positions 55 to 640 of the family's 3401-position model. RNAcentral also lists the same sequence under 1 other name. The record is from RNAcentral. Lineage: Eukaryota; Oomycota; Saprolegniomycetes; Saprolegniales; Saprolegniaceae.